GAUGAACGCUGGCGGCGUGCCUAAUACAUGCAAGUCGAGCGAACAGACGAGGAGCUUGCUCCUCUGACGUUAGCGGCGGACGGGUGAGUAACACGUGGAUAACCUACCUAUAAGACUGGGAUAACUUCGGGAAACCGGAGCUAAUACCGGAUAAUAUAUUGAACCGCAUGGUUCAAUAGUGAAAGACGGUUUUGCUGUCACUUAUAGAUGGAUCCGCGCCGCAUUAGCUAGUUGGUAAGGUAACGGCUUACCAAGGCGACGAUGCGUAGCCGACCUGAGAGGGUGAUCGGCCACACUGGAACUGAGACACGGUCCAGACUCCUACGGGAGGCAGCAGUAGGGAAUCUUCCGCAAUGGGCGAAAGCCUGACGGAGCAACGCCGCGUGAGUGAUGAAGGUCUUCGGAUCGAAAAACUCUGUUAUUAGGGAAGAACAAAUGUGUAAGUAACUAUGCACGUCUUGACGGUACCUAAUCAGAAAGCCACGGCUAACUACGUG
Molecule: ribosomal RNA, 497 nt
Filed under: uncultured bacterium
Lineage: Bacteria
Description: partial 16S ribosomal RNA
Rfam family: Bacterial small subunit ribosomal RNA
Source: RNAcentral